This 77-nucleotide transfer RNA is filed under the name Patescibacteria group bacterium. RNAcentral describes it as "tRNA-Cys". It matches the Rfam family "tRNA". From Rfam's summary of the family: Transfer RNA (tRNA) molecules are approximately 80 nucleotides in length. Their secondary structure includes four short double-helical elements and three loops (D, anti-codon, and T loops). The record is from RNAcentral.
GUUGGCAUAGCUAAGACGGUAAAGCGCAGGACUGCAAAUCCUGAAAUACGAGAGUUCGAUUCUCUCUGCCAACUCCA